Molecule: non-coding RNA, 1879 nt
Organism: Taeniopygia guttata (zebra finch)
Lineage: Eukaryota; Metazoa; Chordata; Aves; Passeriformes; Estrildidae
Source: RefSeq, a predicted model, not a curated record
GCCGCGGGCAGCCCGGCGGCGGCGCGGCGGGGCCGGGGCGGGGCGGACCCCGCUGGCGGCGGGACUUGGCGCGGCGGUUCUGGAACCAGACCUGCGGAGAGAGGCGGCGGUGAGCGCGGCGGGGCGGCCCCGCGCGGCGGGCGCGGCACAGCCGGCGCCCCUCACCUGGAUGCGGGACUCGGGGAUCUGCGUGGCGUCGGCCAGCUUCUCCCGCAGCUUGUGUCUUGUGGUUAUUGAGAAAAGGAUCCAAAUGUGAAGCAAGUUUUGCUCUGAUGGUUCAAAACCAGAAGACAAUACACAGAACCAGAACUGUCCUGGUAUGGUUGGAUGCCUAUUACAAUAUGAACACAAACCCAUGAUCUUUCUCUGCCCUUGUGCUAUUAAAAUCCACCAAGUUUUCCCUCUCUGACUGGAAAAUCCUUCAUCUGGCUUCCCUGUGCUUCCCUGCUGCUUCUCAGGCAUGUGCCAAGGUCAGUGCUCUGGCUUCAGUCUAAUCAUUCAUUCUAAAUGUUUCCCACCCUCUUUUCUGAUCAGUUUUAGAGAUGAGGGACUUUUAGUCUCAUGUAUCAUAACAUUUACAACAAAACCAUUUUGAUUUUGCUCUUGCAUUUUUUUCUGGGCGCUUGAAUUUCAAAGGUUUUCAAGCCUCUGUAAAGUUUGGAAGAUUUUCAGGUUUAACAUGUGGAUAGAACGUGGGAAGUUUCACCUGAGCUGGGGUUUUGCAAUUGAUCAUUAAAUCAGCAGUACCACAUGAUCAUAGCUGGGGAGUGCAGUGGUUACUAUGCCAUUUGAUUAAGUCAUUCUCUUCUGUGCAUGAACUGACUCAUAUUUCUUUGCUAUUUAAAAAUCAAAUUAAAGAGAAGUGCCAUGCAACACACUCAGUAGGCAUUACUUCCAUGGGUUAUCCUGACUUUGGUAAGCCCACAGCACAGUUUUCUGUUGCCUGACUCACACAGAAGCUCCAGGCAUUUGCACAGAUCAGUAUCUCCAUCCUCCUCCCCUACUGUCCCAUCCCCCUGCCUCAGCCAUCCCAGAUAAGUUGUCCAACAGCAUCCUGUGUGUUGGCUCACUCCUCUGGCAAAGGCACUCUCUGAGGCAAAUCCUGCCUCCAGCCUGCACUGCUGCUCCCCUGGGCUGCCCUGCUCAUUCUCUCACUCCCAUUUUACAUGACAGCUGGUUUUCAUCCCCUUUCAUUCAAGCUCAACUCCUCUGCUUUUAUUUCUGGCAGGGUUAUUUUUCUAUUUGACUUUGGCUCUGUUUGCUAAGGCUGCACCCUUGUCACCUCCUUAUUCUGAUCCUCUCCUUUAUUGACUAAAGGUCUUCUUCUCUUUCUUUUUAUUGGUAUUUUUAUCUCUUUCUCCAUUAUCUUUUAGUCCCCUUGAUUCUUACCCCUCUCUUUUGUAUAUGACCAAGUUUGUUUUACACAUUACUUGGAAGAUUUAAGACUUUUCUCCUUGACAGCUUCUCUUCCUUGCCCCUGGAAGAUUCCCCGUGCUGCUGGACACAUGGCAAAGAGCAAAUGCAUUUAUUACUCCAGAUGUGACAACUGCAAUCCAAGAUGGAGAGUGACUCCAGGCUGGGGUGAUCUCAGCUGCUCUCUACUGUCAUCUUAGCUGUCCCCCACAUCUUUACAAGACCACGUUUUUCCUCUUUUGCAAUCACAUCUUUGCAGCUGGGAUACCUCUUACCUAAGUCUUGGAUCUUUGAGGUGUCAGAAGAAUCAUCAAACCAACUCCUGCAACAUAUUAGAAGGGAACAUCUUGUGCUGUAUCACUGGGGAAUAAAAAAAAAUACUUCCUUUCAAAACACAUGUUUUUCCCUCUAAUAUACUUUACAAGUUGAGGAAAAGAAGCUCUUUCAAAAAAUAAAAUUAAGAAAA